UUGGAGGGCAAGUCUGGUGCCAGCAGCCGCGGUAAUUCCAGCUCCAAUAGCGUAUAUUAAAGUUGUUGCAGUUAAAAAGCUCGUAGUUGAAUUUCGGGGUCAGUAGGUUGGUCAUGCCACUGGUAUGUACUGGUCUCACUGAUUCCUCCUUCCUGAUGAACUGUAAUGCCAUUAAUUUGGUGUUGCAGGGAAUCUGGACUGUUACUUUGAAAAAAUUAGAGUGUUUAAAGCAGGCUAACGCCUGAAUACAUUAGCAUGGAAUAAUGAAAUAGGACGUUCGAUCCUAUUUUGUUGGUUUCUAGGAUUGACGUAAUGAUUAAUAGGGAUAGUUGGGGGCAUUAGUAUUCAAUUGUCAGAGGUGAAAUUCUUGGAUUUAUUGAAGACUAACUAUUGCGAAAGCAUUUGCCAAGGAUGUUUUCAUUAAUCAAGAACGAAAGUUAGGGGAUCGAAGACGAUCAGAUACCGUCGUAGUCUUAACCAUAAACUAUGCCGACUAGGAAUCGGGCGUCGUUAUUUUAAUGACUCGCUCGGCGCCUUACGGGAAAC
RNAcentral lists this ribosomal RNA (546 nucleotides) under uncultured Rhizophagus. RNAcentral describes it as "SSU rRNA". It matches the Rfam family "Eukaryotic small subunit ribosomal RNA", at positions 548 to 1098 of the family's 1831-position model. The record is from RNAcentral. Lineage: Eukaryota; Fungi; Glomeromycota; Glomeromycetes; Glomerales; Glomeraceae.